This 1383-nucleotide long non-coding RNA is filed under the name Marmota monax (woodchuck). The record is from RNAcentral. Lineage: Eukaryota; Metazoa; Chordata; Mammalia; Rodentia; Sciuridae.
CUGGGAAUGUAGCUCAGUGGUUACAGUGCUGCUGGGUUCAAUCCGUGGUACCAAAAAACAAACAAACAGUAGUCCUGGAAUAAAUUAAAAAAUUUUUUGGUGUCUUCUUUGUGGUGAGAAUUGGGGUUAGCUCUAAUUUGAAAUUUGUUUUCAUUUACCAAGCUAUGUAUUUGCAGCUCAUAAUACCUACCAUUUUUCAAGUGCCAGUUCUGUGCUUUACAACCAUGAUUUCUGGCCCUUGUAACAACUUUGGAGAAAGGUAUUCUCCUUAUUCUACUCCUGAGGAAAUAGAAUUGAGAUGUCUAUAAUCCUGUCGAGAAGCACCCUGCCAGUCUGGGAUCUUUUUUUGUUGUAUCACCCUCUUCUCUAAGAGUUGUUAGGAGCAACUUGUUUUCUUGCACAGGUUUGAAAUAAACCAUUUGGAGAACAGUGUUCUAUGACCUCUGAACAUAACAGAUAAUAUGACCCAUCCACGAUUUAUUACUUUUCUGCUCUACGGAGCUGAUACUGGAGUCAGUUGAAGAUGUCUUUUUUCUUUGCUGAGCUUAAAACAAACAAACAAACAAAAAAACUUUCAGUCACAUUUGGGGGCAUUAAUAGGCUUAAAACAAUUACUGUUUUCUCUUUUAUUGCCUCCUUGAUUUUAGUUGGAAACAUGCAGGCAGUGUAUGUAGUAGAGGCAUCAAAGCAAAGAGAAGAUUGAUGGAACAGACAAGGUGCACACAGCACUGUUACUAGAAGGUGGGUUUUGUUUGCAGCUUUGUUGAUGGAGAGGUUCAGCAGGUUGCUAAAAGGCUAUGGACAUUCUGUUACUACCAAAUUACAGCCUAAAGAUCUGUGGAACUCUUAGAGCAAGGCUUAAUAUUUCCUUUCUCCCCUUUGUUUUUUUUUAGGAAGUGGCUCUGUUUGCAGGAAAGAUUAGAUGUGUCUUUCUAGGCAACAUCCAAGGUCUUUUGGAUGCUUUUGUGCCUUCACCAUAGCUCCUUCUCAGAUUAAUGCACUGCCCAUGCAUUUAACUCUUAUUCCAUAGCAGCAUUUGCAACUUUCUGUGCAGUCUGGGUACAAGUUAAAAGCUUAGGAAGUCCAUAUAACUUGUCAUAAUUUUAGUACUCUAACUUAUUAAGGGAUAUAUUUUGAUUAUCUGAUUUACAAAAGUACCAUAUAAAAAUCCAUCUAUGCUAUAUGAUUGCUGGAACACUGAGCUCUGGUUUUUAUGACCGAGUUAUGGGAUGAGUAAUUACUCUCUAGAGUGAAUGGUUCAAAAUGAAAUAACUGUAUGCCUAAGGUGUGAUGUGACACCAGAUGUGUUUAGGCCCCAAAGGUAUGUAAUUAUCUCACUGCUCUUGCACAUACACACAAGUGCAUUUAUGCUUAUGGCAAGAG